AUCACGUGUACAAACAUCAACAAAAAGCAAAAAUAAAAAUUUGGAGAUCAACUACAAACGCCGGCCAUGACCACCGUCUGCGUGACCGGAGCAACCGGCUACAUCGGUAGCUGGCUAGUCCGUUCGCUCCUUAGCAAAGAGUAUCUUGUUAACGCAACAACAAGAGAUAUAAAUAAGGGGCUAGAGAUCUUUGGAGAUUGUGAUGGGUUGAAGUUGUUUAGAGGUGAUCUUAGUGAAGAAGGGAGCUUUGAUGAGGCAGUUAAGGGUUGUGUUUGUGUUUUUCAUGUUGCGGCUUCUAUGGAGUUUGGCAUAACGGCUGCUGAAAAUAUAGAGGAGUAUGUGCAAUCAAAUGUACUAGAGCCUGCUAUCAGAGGAACCAUCAAUGUCCUACAAUCUUGUUCAAGAGCAAAAACUGUGAAGAGAGUGAUAUUUACGUCUUCAAUCAGUACAAUCACUGGUAAAGAUGACAACGGCAAUUGGAGAUCAGUUGUCGAUGAAUCGUCAACCAUAUCCUUAGAUCGAGUAUGGAAGGACAAGCCUAAUGGAUGGGUGUAUGCCCUCUCAAAGCUUUUAACAGAAGAGAAGGCCUUUGAGUUUGCAAAGGAGAAUGGAAUAGAUUUGGUUUCAAUCAUCCCACCCACAGUUGCUGGUCCUUUCCUUACUCCGACUGUUCCUGCAAGUCUACAAGUUCUCUUGUCUCCUGUCACAGGUGAUCCAAAACUGUAUGCGAUAUUACUUGCAGUACACUCUAGACUGGGAUCAAUUCCAUUAGUGCAUAUCGAAGAUAUAUGCAACGCACAUAUCUUUCUUAUGGAUGCAACUAAAGCGAAGGGACGAUAUGUUUGUGUUGCGGGAAGUUGUUCUCUGCCUCAGAUUGCUUCUUUGAUUGACGGAAGGGGUGAUGAAGAGAUUCAUGAAUCAAAAGCCUCUUUGGUUAUUUCUUCAAAGAAGUUAACUGAUUUGGGGUUUGAGUUUAAGUUCAGUGUGAGAGAUAUCGUCAAGGACACUGUUUCUUGCUACGUUGAGUGUGGUUUUCUAAAGAGUUGACAUGUAGCUAUGGUGAAGGAUUGAGCUCAUGAUUGAUAUAUUUCAUGUCAUCAAGGAUCUGUUGUUAGUUGUGUUGAGUACUGUUUUUUAAAGUACGGUCUCCACCAAACUCUAAGCAAGUUCUGGUGAAGGAAAUAAAAGUCACAACUGGCCCAGCUGGUUGCGAUUCACUAUUUAGUGGGAAAUUGCGUGGGCUGUUAUAAUGAUUAUGAUCUACCAGUUGAUUUAUGCCUAGCGCUCCUACAUGUGUGGGAGACUUUGGAUCUACC
Molecule: RNA transcript, 1316 nt
Organism: Asparagus officinalis (garden asparagus)
Lineage: Eukaryota; Viridiplantae; Streptophyta; Magnoliopsida; Asparagales; Asparagaceae
Gene name: dihydroflavonol 4-reductase
Exons: 7
Source: RefSeq, a predicted model, not a curated record